RNAcentral lists this ribosomal RNA (253 nucleotides) under uncultured bacterium. RNAcentral describes it as "partial 16S ribosomal RNA". It matches the Rfam family "Bacterial small subunit ribosomal RNA", at positions 524 to 776 of the family's 1533-position model. The record is from RNAcentral.
UACGGAGGGGACUAGCGUUGUUCGGAAUUACUGGGCGUAAAGCGCACGUAGGCGGAUUUGUAAGUCAGGGGUGAAAUCCCGGGGCUCAACCUCGGAACUGCCUUUGAUACUGCAAAUCUCGAGUCCGGAAGAGGUGAGUGGAAUUCCUAGUGUAGAGGUGAAAUGCGUAGAUAUCCGGAGGAACACCGAUGGCGAAGGCAACCGCCUGGGCCUGUACUGACGCUGAGACACGAAAGCGUGGGGAGCAAACAGG